UACGUAGGCAGCGAGCGUUGUUCGGAAUUAUUGGGCGUAAAGCGCGCGCAGGCGGUUUCUUAAGUCUGCUGUGAAAGCCCACGGCUCAACCGUGGAGGGUCAUUGGAAACUGGGGAACUUGAGUGCAGAAGAGAAAAGCGGAAUUCCACGUGUAGCGGUGAAAUGCGUAGAGAUGUGGAGGAACACCAGUGGCGAAGGCGGCUUUUUGGUCUGUAACUGACGCUGAGGCGCGAAAGCGUGGGGAGCAAACAGG
Molecule: ribosomal RNA, 253 nt
Filed under: uncultured bacterium
Lineage: Bacteria
Description: partial 16S ribosomal RNA
Rfam family: Bacterial small subunit ribosomal RNA
Source: RNAcentral